AUGCAGAGCUCGCUCGCCCGGCCUCCGCCCCCGCCCCCGCCCCCCUCGGCGCGGGGCUCCGCGGGCGCGAGGUUCCUCGCUCGGCCCAGGCAGGCGCUGCCGGCGGUGAGAUGCCACGGCGAGCCCGCGUCGUCGUCGUCGGCGGCGUCGGGAUGGGCCCCGCCGACGCCGUUCACGGGGAGGGACCCGGAGGCGAAGAAGCCGGCGUGGCUGCGGCAGCGGGCGGCGCAGGGGGACAAGUACGCCCGGCUCAGGGAGUCGCUCGGCGAGCUCAAGCUCAACACCGUCUGCGUCGAGGCCCAGUGCCCCAACAUCGGGGAGUGCUGGAACGGAGGCGGUGGCGCCGGCGGGGAAGGGGACGGCAUCGCCACCGCGACCAUCAUGCUCCUCGGCGACACCUGCACCCGGGGCUGUCGGUUCUGCGCCGUCAAGACCAGUAACAAGCCCCCGCCGCCUGACGCCCUCGAGCCUCUGAAAACGGCCAUCGCGAUUGCGAGUUGGGGAGUGGACUAUGUCGUGCUGACAAGCGUCGACAGAGACGACAUCCCGGAUGGUGGAAGUGGCCAUUUCGCCGAAACAGUCAGGGCUCUCAAGGAGUUGAAGCCUACGAUAUUGGUGGAGUGUCUAACUUCAGAUUUUCGAGGCGACCUGGAGGCAGUUGCGUCUCUGGCAAACUCUGGUCUAGAUGUGUAUGCGCACAACAUCGAAACUGUGAGGAGUAUGCAGAGAAUAGUUAGAGAUCCCCGAGCAGGAUAUGAUCAGAGCUUAGGGGUUCUGAAGCAAGCAAAGGCUUGCAAAAAGGGCAUGGUAACAAAGUCCUCGAUCAUGCUUGGUCUGGGUGAGACAGACGAGGAGAUAAAGCAAACCAUGGCUGACUUGAGGGCCAUCGACGUUGACAUUCUGACCUUGGGACAAUACUUACAGCCAACAGAAAGACAUUUGAGAGUCAGAGAGUAUGUGACUCCUGAGAAGUUUGAUUUCUGGAAGGAGUAUGGAGAAUCUUUAGGAUUUGUAUAUGUUGCUAGUGGACCUCUGGUCCGGUCCUCCUACCGUGCGGGGGAGAUAUUUGUCCAAAAUUUUGUCAGACAGAAAAAGGCCCAGCUUGUAUCUGCUGCAUCCUAG
This 1122-nucleotide ribosomal RNA is filed under the name Triticum aestivum (bread wheat). RNAcentral's name for it is "partial small subunit ribosomal RNA". The record is from RNAcentral. Lineage: Eukaryota; Viridiplantae; Streptophyta; Magnoliopsida; Poales; Poaceae.